Molecule: long non-coding RNA, 773 nt
Filed under: Hermetia illucens (black soldier fly)
Lineage: Eukaryota; Metazoa; Arthropoda; Insecta; Diptera; Stratiomyidae
Description: uncharacterized LOC119647865, transcript variant X2
Source: RNAcentral
CGGCACCACUAACGCUUUGUUGAUUAGGACGGAUUGUGCCGCUGAUUUGUGCCUCAAUUUGUCGUGCUCAAAUUGUUUAUUAAAUAUUACGGUGUUAAUGGUAGGAGGACCGUGUCAAACAUGUAGUAAAUCAGGAUAAAGUAUUUAAUGCUGCAAUUUGAAUAUAUCCUGAAAAAAGUAGAAAUUCUAUUGAUUGACUUCGUAAUAUUGGCCCUUGUAGUAUCUAAAGCAGGGAAUAUACAGUUUCUCGACUAGAGACCACGUAGCUAUCCAGCUCCUAUUGGAAAGUGGCUUCCAGAAGACGACACUGUGUCUCAACAGAACAAGUCGUUAAACUGGCGAAGUUCCGUGAGAAGAAAGGUAAUACUGUUCCUUCUCAACUUCGAUAUUGACGUGCAUAAUAAGAUAGGUAUGUACGAAUAGGACGUAGGAUAUUCUCUACAAAGAAGACACUCCACAUAACAUCAACACGAAACCUUUAUAUCCGAAGCGUCCAGCUUCCGGUAUUCCGACUUGUUUAAGAUAAACUUACGGUGGAGACGAUAACUCGGUUGAAUGAAAUGACUCACAAUUAGCUUAACUCAACACGUGGCUGUACGCAGACAAGGCUGGAAGCAGAAGAACGAUUUCUCUCCAUGCGGUUCAUUCUGCCCCCAACCAACGGCACAUUCUCACCGCUAGUUCUCCACUCUCGUGGCGAGUUCUAAAAGGUGGAGAGUUCCGUGCCAUCUAUUUGUUCGCAUUCGCAACAUUCGAAAUAAAUUUCGAAUGCU